Molecule: long non-coding RNA, 1034 nt
Filed under: Falco tinnunculus (common kestrel)
Lineage: Eukaryota; Metazoa; Chordata; Aves; Falconiformes; Falconidae
Description: lncRNA (ENSFTIG00000013148.1)
Source: RNAcentral
CAGGCCCGGCCUCCGCCUCCGCCACACGUGACCCGCGCCGCCGCCCGCGUCACGGGGGGCGGGGCCGGGGCGGGGCCUUGGGGCUGGCGGGGCGGGGCCGCGGGGGCGCCCAGGGCCCGCGGGGUGGGCUGCUCGGUGUCGCCCGGGGGGGGUUGCCCUGGGCUCAGGCGCUGGAGCCCGGCCCUUCGAGCGGGUGUUCUGUUGUUACAUCAGUUUUGAAUGAAAAUAAUUCAUUAAUAACGGAAGAUAAUGAGUGGCGAUCGUUUCUUUCGUUAAAGAAUUGAAAAAUUAUGACAAAUCCAAGCGUGCUGCGAGGCGGAGGAGCGGGCUGGGAGCGGACAGGCAGCCUGGAUUGCCCAGAGACCUCCAGGCAGCUGAGGUCCUCCCCUGGGAGGUGCACGCGCUGUUUAAUUUAUGGGUCAUCUUAAUUUCAGAGUAAUUUCCCUCUCAGCUUCUCCAGCCAACAAAAUUCCGUUUUAUCUGACAUCUCGCCUCCUCGCAUCAGCACCCUGCAGAUACCAUAUGACAGCAGCAGAGCUGUGCGAGUGGUUUAGCCAGCAAAGAAAAUUACGAUGAUUUUUUAGAGAGACUCCGAGGAUGCGAUGUUUUCUCUCCCUUUCCAGCAUAUGCUCAGAUCUACCUUUUUCCCCUCUUGGUCUAUUUUACCCUUUAGCAACACAGCACUAAAAAAACCCCACCCAGCUCUGUGCCGCUGCUUGCCCCGCACUGCGCCACCAGCAUCCCUCCGGCCUCAGCCUGGCUCCCCAGGCAAGGACUACAGGGACCACAGGGACAACGGGCACCGGUGGGAGAAGCACCUUGCUGGGGGGGUGACCUGCCUUCACACGGAGCACAGGACAGUUUCCCGGGUGUGCGGUUGUGAUCGCCACAGCUGCAGUCAGCUCCAGGCAUCACCUGCAAUUAUGAAACACGGUGCAGGCUCAGGACAGCACAGAAGAGAGUGCGUUGCAAGGUUUGGGGCAUCACUUCAUGGUUACUUUUUCUUAAAAGACUAGAGGUGUGAUACACCUGAU